Molecule: transfer RNA, 64 nt
Filed under: Pilea danxiaensis
Lineage: Eukaryota; Viridiplantae; Streptophyta; Magnoliopsida; Rosales; Urticaceae
Description: Pilea sp. LF-2022a tRNA-Lys
Rfam family: tRNA
About the family: Transfer RNA (tRNA) molecules are approximately 80 nucleotides in length. Their secondary structure includes four short double-helical elements and three loops (D, anti-codon, and T loops).
Source: RNAcentral
GGGUUGCUAACUCAACGGUAGAGUACUCGCCGACUAGUUCCGGGUUCAAGUCCCGGGUAACCCA